UCGGGGAUCGUCUAACGGCAGGACAAAGGUUUUUGAAGCCUUGAAUCGUGGUUCGAUUCCACGUCCCCGAG
RNAcentral lists this transfer RNA (71 nucleotides) under Deltaproteobacteria bacterium. RNAcentral describes it as "tRNA-Gln". It matches the Rfam family "tRNA". Rfam says of the family: Transfer RNA (tRNA) molecules are approximately 80 nucleotides in length. Their secondary structure includes four short double-helical elements and three loops (D, anti-codon, and T loops). Lineage: Bacteria; Pseudomonadati; Myxococcota; Myxococcia. The record is from RNAcentral.